AUUAUUCAAACAUUGUCCAAACACACAGUGACAACUCAAAUAGGCUGAUAGUAAAAUACUUGUCUUCAAUCUUAUUGCAUUAAAAAUAAUCUGUAGUAGACUACACAUUGGCAACUCAAAUAGUCUCAUAGUAGUACUCUUGUCCUAAAGUCUUAUUACAUCACAACCAAAGUUGCAUAAAUAAAGGUCGUAUCAUAUUUCAAAAUUUCAAUGCACUUCCAACAGUACAUGCACUAGUAAUUGGAGACCCAGCCGCAUGUCCACAUGAGCACACUUGGCUCCAAAUUAGUCUUCAGUAAUGAUGGACUCAUUUUCAUCCUGACAUAAAAAGCAAAGCAUUAAAAUAAACAAGUUACUUCUGAAUGCACAUCCAUAAAGGACAAAAACCUGACAUCUAAUCAAGUCCGACCAUCAACCACACAUUCACAAGUAUAUAUCUUAAACAAGCAGUGCACUGCGAACACAUCACUUGUUAUUUAAACAUAUAAAACAUUCCCAACAUAAUAAAUUGAGAUGAGAACAAGGAGUUACCAUCACUUCUUCUUCAUCCUCAAGAACAGAUUGAACUGCUUGCAGAGCAAAGUUCAUAUCACCUAAUGCAAAGAUGAAGCAAAAAAAUUAUGCAUAGCACGACGAAACAGAAUACAAAUUGAUAAUUAAAAAUAUUACCUAACAUGUCCGCUCGUGACCAAGCUUGCAUACACAUAAGAGCUUCAGCUAUGCUUGGUGUAAGCCGACUGCGAUGUGCACUAAGUAACCUCCC
RNAcentral lists this long non-coding RNA (763 nucleotides) under Triticum aestivum (bread wheat). RNAcentral's name for it is "long non-coding RNA (TAES_LNC007527)". The record is from RNAcentral. Lineage: Eukaryota; Viridiplantae; Streptophyta; Magnoliopsida; Poales; Poaceae.